Molecule: ribosomal RNA, 253 nt
Filed under: uncultured bacterium
Lineage: Bacteria
Description: partial 16S ribosomal RNA
Rfam family: Bacterial small subunit ribosomal RNA
Source: RNAcentral
GACGUAGGGCGCGAGCGUUGUCCGGAUUUAUUGGGCGUAAAGAGCUCGUAGGCGGCCUGUUGCGUCCGCUGUGAAAGCCCGGGGCUUAACCCCGGGUCGGCAGUGGAUACGGGCAGGCUAGAGGUAGGUAGGGGAGAAUGGAAUUCCCGGUGUAGCGGUGAAAUGCGCAGAUAUCAGGAGGAACACCGAUGGCGAAGGCAGGUCUCUGGGCAUUAACUGACGCUGAGGAGCGAAAGCAUGGGGAGCGAACAGG